Molecule: ribosomal RNA, 253 nt
Filed under: uncultured bacterium
Lineage: Bacteria
Description: partial 16S ribosomal RNA
Rfam family: Bacterial small subunit ribosomal RNA
Source: RNAcentral
UACGAAGGGGGCUAGCGUUGCUCGGAAUCACUGGGCGUAAAGGGCGCGUAGGCGGCCAUUCAAGUCGGGGGUGAAAGCCUGUGGCUCAACCACAGAAUUGCCUUCGAUACUGUUUGGCUUGAGUAUGGCAGAGGUCAGUGGAACUGCGAGUGUAGAGGUGAAAUUCGUAGAUAUUCGCAAGAACACCAGUGGCGAAGGCGGCUGACUGGGCCAUUACUGACGCUGAGGCGCGAAAGCGUGGGGAGCGAACAGG